RNAcentral lists this ribosomal RNA (433 nucleotides) under uncultured bacterium. RNAcentral describes it as "partial 16S ribosomal RNA". It matches the Rfam family "Bacterial small subunit ribosomal RNA", at positions 29 to 507 of the family's 1533-position model. The record is from RNAcentral.
AACGAACGCUGGCGGCAUGCCUAACACAUGCAAGUCGAACGAGACCUUCGGGUCUAGUGGCGCACGUGUGCGUAACGCGUGGGAACCUGCCCUUAGGUUCGGAAUAACUCCCCGAAAGGGGUGCUAAUACCGGAUAAUGUCUUCGGACCAAAGAUUUAUCGCCUUUGGAUGGGCCCGCGUUGGAUUAGCUAGUUGGUAGGGUAAAAGCCUACCAAGGCGACGAUCCAUAGCUGGUCUGAGAGGAUGAUCAUCCACACUGGGACUGAGACACGGCCCAGACUGGUACGGAAGGGAGCAGUGGGGAAUAUUGGAGAAGGGGGGAAAGCCUGAUCAAGCAAUGCGGCGUGAGUGAUGAAGGCCGUAGGGUUGUAAAGCUCUUUUACACGGGAUGAUAAUGACAGUACCGGGAGAAUAAGCUCCGGCUAACUCCGUG